UNNNNAUNAGCGGAGGAAAAGAAACCAACAGGGAUUGCCCUAGUAACGGCGAGUGAAGCGGCAACAGCUCAAAUUUGAAAUCUGGCGCAAGCCCGAGUUGUAAUUUGGAGAGGAUGCUUCUAGGCAGCGGCCGUUCUAAGUUCCUUGGAACAGGACGUCAUAGAGGGUGAGAAUCCCGUAUGUGACCGGCGCGCACCUUCUACGUAGCUCCUUCGACGAGUCGAGUUGUUUGGGAAUGCAGCUCUAAAUGGGAGGUAAAUUUCUUCUAAAGCUAAAUACCGGCCAGAGACCGAUAGCGCACAAGUAGAGUGAUCGAAAGAUGAAAAGCACUUUGGAAAGAGAGUUAAAUAGCACGUGAAAUUGUUGAAAGGGAAGCGCUUGCAACCAGACUUGGCGGCGGUGUUCCGCCGGGCUUCUGCCCGGUCCACUCGCCGCCGCCAGGCCAACAUCAUCUGUGGCCGCCGGAGAAGACGUCGGGAAUGUAGCUCCCUCGGGAGUGUUAUAGCCCGCCGUGAUACGGCGCGCCGCGGGUGAGG
RNAcentral lists this ribosomal RNA (536 nucleotides) under Schizothyrium tardicrescens. Its description in RNAcentral is "eukaryotic LSU rRNA". It matches the Rfam family "Eukaryotic large subunit ribosomal RNA", at positions 41 to 589 of the family's 3401-position model. Lineage: Eukaryota; Fungi; Ascomycota; Dothideomycetes; Mycosphaerellales; Schizothyriaceae. The record is from RNAcentral.